This 296-nucleotide long non-coding RNA is filed under the name Brassica napus (rape). RNAcentral describes it as "long non-coding RNA (BNAP_LNC012160)". The record is from RNAcentral. Lineage: Eukaryota; Viridiplantae; Streptophyta; Magnoliopsida; Brassicales; Brassicaceae.
AUAUAUAUAUAUAUAUUUUAAAUCCUAAAUAAUAGUUUUUAAUCACAAACAAAGUUUUAUAGAUCUUAAAAAUGUUUUGUAAAGUCCAAAAAAUCGAAUUUAUAUACAAAAAAACGUUUUGUAAAAUCCUAAAAAUUGAAUUUAUAUACAAAAAUCAUUUUAUAAAAUAAAAAAAUCGAAUUUAUACACAAAAAUUGAAUUUAUAUACAAAAAUCGAUUUUAUAAAUACGAAAAAAAUAAAAAAAUUAUGAAAAAAUUCUAAAUCAAUUCAACAAAACAAAUUAUUCAACCAAAUC